RNAcentral lists this long non-coding RNA (1192 nucleotides) under Piliocolobus tephrosceles (Ugandan red Colobus). RNAcentral describes it as "lncRNA (ENSPTEG00000003288.1)". The record is from RNAcentral. Lineage: Eukaryota; Metazoa; Chordata; Mammalia; Primates; Cercopithecidae.
AAAUAAUACAACAAUAAUACAUAAAUACACGCAAACAAAAAAAAAAAAUGCAUAAACAGAUUACAGCGUAUUAUUUCAAAACAUCUCAUUUCAAUUAUACAUAUACAUAUAUACAUAUAUUUUUUUUAUGGUAAUUUUAGCGAAUUAAGCAAUGUAAAUCAAUCAGAAGAAUUAAUCAGACUUCAAAAAGAAAAUGAAAAAUUAAGAAAUAAAAUAGAAUCUGAUACAAAUAAAGAAUCAAAGAGAGUGAAAGAAGUUAGUUUAAUAACUUUAUUAUGCAUUCAAGUUGUAUACAAAUUCACACAUAUGUAUAUAUGUAUGGUACACCUAAGUUAGUGAGAAAAUUUAUUUUACAUAUUUUUUUUACGUAACCGUAUUUUUACCCUGUUUUAUUUUAGCUUGAAAAAGAACUCAAGGAUUUGAAAGAAAUAAAUAACAAUUUAAAGAAUGAAGUAUUAAAAGACACAAAUAAUAACAACGCUCAAACUAAUCCACAACAGGAGAAAUAUGAAGCACAAAAUGUAAAAAUAUCACACUCUUUUUGUAAAGAAUAUUUUUUUUUGUUUAUUUUAUAUAUAUUUUUUUAAAUAGAUACGUUUAUUUUAUAUAUUUUUUUUAGAUAGAUACGUUUAUCUUAUAUUUAUUUUUUUAUAUACUUAUCAAUUUAUUUACUAACUUUUUUCUAAUGUUAUUUGUGUUUUGGCUGCAGGAAAAAAUCAUCAAAUUAGAAGCUGAGCUAUUAAUUGAAAAAAAAAAUAGUACAAUUAUUGAAGAAACGACUAAAAAUAAAUUAACAAAGGAAUUUAAUGCUGCAUUGCAAAUUUUUAAAGAACAAUUACAAAUUAGGGAAAAGGAAACUGAAUAUUACAAAGAAACAAUGAAAACACAGAUAGAUACUUUUAAAGACGAACAAAAAUUAUUAAGCGAUAUUAUUCACAACUUAGGCCUAAAAUAUAAACAAUUACAAACUUAUAAUCUUUGUUUAAAGAAUGAAAUUACAGGAAUUAAAUUAAGGUAUUAUUUCACAUUUUAUUAUUAUAUUUUAUUUUUUUUUACUUGUUAAACACAUAAAAUGCUUCGUACAUAUAAACAUUUUCUCUAUGACAUAUUAUUUUAUUUUGUUUUUUUUUAAUAUAUAUAGAACCAAAGCUUGUACAAAUUCCGACAACAAAUAAAAUCCCAGUUUUAUACA